This 76-nucleotide transfer RNA is filed under the name TM7 phylum sp. oral taxon 351. RNAcentral's name for it is "tRNA-Trp". It matches the Rfam family "tRNA". From Rfam's summary of the family: Transfer RNA (tRNA) molecules are approximately 80 nucleotides in length. Lineage: Bacteria; Candidatus Saccharimonadota. RNAcentral also lists the same sequence under 1 other name. The record is from RNAcentral.
AGGGGAAUAGCUCAGCUGGUAGAGCACUGGUCUCCAAAACCAGGUGUCGUGGGUUCAAGUCCUGCUUCCCCUGCCA